RNAcentral lists this long non-coding RNA (1053 nucleotides) under Chrysemys picta bellii (western painted turtle). RNAcentral's name for it is "lncRNA (ENSCPBG00000016692.1)". The record is from RNAcentral. Lineage: Eukaryota; Metazoa; Chordata; Testudines; Emydidae.
GGCUUCAAGCUGUGUGACUCUUGUUGCCAUUCUAUGCCCAGGAGCGACCCUCAUGCUGAGAGUCUUAGCUGCCUGGGUGAGACUAACAUUAGCGACCAUUGCAAGAUCUGCAGGUCGUUCAAGCCAAGGACCAAGAAGGAGAGAGACUUUAGACUUCGAGCUCUCCUGAUGGAGUUGGCACUGGCCCCAACGCUGGUAUGCAGAUCGGACUCAACGCCGGCCGCCGCAUCAUCGGUAUGUAGCGAGGCCCCUUUGAGCAGUUGGCGCCACUCUCCCUCCAAAGGACAUGUCCCUGCUACGAAGGACAUGUCCCUGCCUGUCCCGAGCUCGCAACCAGGUUCGGGCCCCAGGUCUCGAGGCAAGCCUCCUUUAGGUGCCCACCAGACCUCUCCGGCCAGCUGCAGUUCCCACUCUGAGGAUCACUCCCCGCACUGCUCAGCGCACAGCAGCCACUCGUCUGGCAGCUCCCGGCCAUCCUUGACGCCGGCCAGACCGUCCAAGCCGCCGUCGGGAUGGGAGUCGUGGGGACCCUCUACGCCGCUUGCCAGUGAGCGUAGGCACCGAGAGAGACAUCAGGAACGCUCACCUGCAAGGCGUGGGUACUGGAGCCACUCUCGACAGGACAGACGUCGUCGUUCCCGUUCCAGCUCCCGCUCGACUAGACAUCACGCCAGAGGCUCCCCCUGGGAUACCUCGGUGUCAGGGCACCGGGCUUCGCAUCGCUGUCACGGGUACCGAAGCAGUUCAUCGCGUGGUGUCAUAACUAUAAAGGGAAGGGUAACAGCCCUCCUGUGUACAAUACUAUAAAAUCCCUGCUGGCCAGAGACUCCAAAAUCCUUUUACCUGUAAAGGGUUAAGAAGCUCAGGUAACCUGGCUGACAUCUGACCCAAAGGACCAAUAAGGGAACAAGAUACUUUCAAAUCUUGGUGGGGGGAAGGCUCUUGUUUGUGCUCUUUGUUUUUGGGGGGUGUUCGCUCUUGGGACUGAGAGGGACCAGACAUCAAUCCAGGUUCUCCAAAUCUUUCUGAACAAGUCUCUCAUAUUUNNNNNNN